RNAcentral lists this transfer RNA (80 nucleotides) under Nitrospina sp. Its description in RNAcentral is "tRNA-Leu". It matches the Rfam family "tRNA". Rfam says of the family: Transfer RNA (tRNA) molecules are approximately 80 nucleotides in length. Their secondary structure includes four short double-helical elements and three loops (D, anti-codon, and T loops). Lineage: Bacteria; Pseudomonadati; Nitrospinota; Nitrospinia; Nitrospinales; Nitrospinaceae. The record is from RNAcentral.
GCGAGGGUGGCGGAACUGGCAGACGCGCUGGAUUUAGGAUCCAGUGGGCAACCGUGGGGGUUCGAAUCCACCCCUUCGCA